Molecule: ribosomal RNA, 1153 nt
Filed under: human gut metagenome
Description: bacterial LSU rRNA
Rfam family: Bacterial large subunit ribosomal RNA
Source: RNAcentral
UUUUUUUCAAGCAGAAGACGGCAUACGAGAUCUGAUCGUGACUGGAGUUCAGACGUGUGCUCUUCCGAUCUGUGUAGUGGAGGUAGAGCACUGAAUGGGCUAGGGGGCAUAUCGCUUACCGAACCUUAUCAAACUCCGAAUGCCAUAUACAUUAAGUCCGGCAGUCAGACUACGAAUGAUAAGAUCCGUGGUCAAAAGGGAAACAGCCCAGACCGUCAGCUAAGGUCCCAAAGUGUAAGUUAAGUGGAAAAGGAUGUGGGAUUUCUAAGACAACUAGGAUGUUGGCUUAGAAGCAGCCACUCAUUUAAAGAGUGCGUAAUAGCUCACUAGUCGAGAGAUCCUGCGCCGAAAAUGUACCGGGGCUAAACUUACCACCGAAGCUACGGAUUUGCAAGUAAUUGCAAGUGGUAGGGGAGCGUCGUAAUCGGGCUGAAGUCGUACCGGAAGGAGCGGUGGACUGAUUACGAGUGAGAAUGUUGGCAUUAGUAGCGAGAUGUAGGUGAGAAUCCUACAGGCCGAAUAUCUAAGGUUUCCUCAGGAAGGCUCGUCCGCUGAGGGUUAGUCGGGACCUAAGCCGAGGCCGAAAGGCGUAGGCGAUGGACAAUCGGUUGAUAUUCCGAUACCACUACCAUCGUUAUUAUCGAGGGUGUGACGGAGAAGGAUAGUGUGUGCUAGCGAUUGGAAAUGCUAGUCUAAGCGUUUAGGGAGUUACGGUAGGCAAAUCCGCUGUAACAAUUCUGAGGCGUGAUGGGGAAGGUCAUUAAGACCGAAGUACAUGAUUCCAUGCUUCCAAGAAAAGCAUCUAGAGAGAGAAGUAGUGCCCGUACCGCAAACCGACACAGGUAGAUGAGGAGAGAAUCCUAAGGCCGGCGGAAGAAUUGCAGUUAAGGAACUAGGCAAAUUGACCCCGUAAGUUCGCGAGAAGGGGUGCCUGCGAGAGCAGGCCGCAGAGAAUAGGCCCAAGCAACUGUUUAGCAAAAACACAGGUCUCUGCUAAAGCGUAAGCUGAUGUAUAGGGGCUGACGCCUGCCCGGUGCUGGAAGGUUAAGGGGAACACUUAGCGCAAGCGAAGGUGUGAACUUAAGCCCCAGUAAACGGCGGCCGUAACUAUAACGGUCCUAAGGUAGCGAAAUUCCUUGUCAGGUAAGUUCUG